Molecule: transfer RNA, 77 nt
Filed under: Bacillota bacterium
Lineage: Bacteria; Bacillati; Bacillota
Also listed under: 2 other names
Description: tRNA-Pro
Rfam family: tRNA
About the family: Transfer RNA (tRNA) molecules are approximately 80 nucleotides in length.
Source: RNAcentral
CGGGGCGUAGCGCAGUUUGGUAGCGCACAUGGUUUGGGACCAUGGGGCCGGGGGUUCGAAUCCCUCCGCCCCGACCA